GUGGGGAAUUUUGGACAAUGGGCGCAAGCCUGAUCCAGCAAUGCCGCGUGCAGGAAGAAGGCCUUCGGGUUGUAAACUGCUUUUGUACGGAACGAAACGGUCCGGGUUAAUACCCUGGGCUAAUGACGGUACCGUAAGAAUAAGCACCGGCUAACUACGUGCCAGCAGCCGCGGUAAUACGUAGGGUGCGAGCGUUAAUCGGAAUUACUGGGCGUAAAGCGUGCGCAGGCGGUGCUGUAAGACAGGCGUGAAAUCCCCGGGCUCAACCUGUGAAUUGCGCUUGUGACUGCAGUGCUGGAGUACGGCAGAGGGUGAUGGAAUUCCGCGUGUAGCAGUGAAAUGCGUAGAUAUGCGGAGGAACACCGAUGGCGAAGGCAGUCCCCUGGGCCUGUACUGACGCUCAUGCACGAAAGCGUGGGGAGCAAACAGGAUUAGAAACCCCGGUAGUCC
This 450-nucleotide ribosomal RNA is filed under the name uncultured bacterium. RNAcentral's name for it is "bacterial SSU rRNA". It matches the Rfam family "Bacterial small subunit ribosomal RNA", at positions 354 to 796 of the family's 1533-position model. The record is from RNAcentral.